CCAGACUCCUACGGGAGGCAGCAGUGAGGAAUAUUGGUCAAUGGGCUUACGCCUGAACCAGCCAAGUCGCGUGAGGGAAGACUGCCCUAUGGGUUGUAAACCUCUUUUGUCAGGGAGCAACGCCGGCUACGUGUAGCCGGACUGAGAGUACCUGAAGAAAAAGCAUCGGCUAACCCCGUGCCAGCAGCCGCGGUAAUACGGAGGAUGCGAGCGUUAUCCGGAUUUAUUGGGUUUAAAGGGUGCGUAGGCGGAAUGCAAAGUCAGGGGUAAAAUCGCGGGCCUCAACCUCGCUCCGCCGUUGAAACUGGCGUUCUUGAGUGGGCGAGAAGUAUGCGGAAUGCGUGGUGUAGCGGUGAAAUGCAUAGAUAUCACGCAGAACUCCGAUUGCGAAGGCAGCUUACUAAACUAUAACUGACACUGAAGCACGAAAGCGUGGGGAUCAAACAGGAUUAGAUACCCGUGUA
RNAcentral lists this ribosomal RNA (464 nucleotides) under uncultured bacterium. RNAcentral's name for it is "bacterial SSU rRNA". It matches the Rfam family "Bacterial small subunit ribosomal RNA", at positions 331 to 792 of the family's 1533-position model. The record is from RNAcentral.